AUUGAACGCUGGCGGCAGGCCUAACACAUGCAAGUCGAGCGGAUGAAGGGAGCUUGCUCCUGGAUUCAGCGGCGGACGGGUGAGUAAUGCCUAGGAAUCUGCCUGGUCGUGGGGGAUAACGUCCGGAAACGGGCGCUAAUACCGCAUACGUCCUGAGGGAGAAAGUGGGGGAUCUUCGGACCUCACGCUAUCAGAUGAGCCUAGGUCGGAUUAGCUAGUUGGUGGGGUAAAGGCCUACCAAGGCGACGAUCCGUAACUGGUCUGAGAGGAUGAUCAGACACACUGGAACUGAGACACGGUCCAGACUCCUACGGGAGGCAGCAGUGGGGAAUAUUGGACAAAGGGCGAAAGCCUGAUCCAGCCAUGCCGCGUGAGUGAAGAAGGUCUUCGGAUUGUAAAGCACUUUAAGUUGGGAGGAAGGGCAGUAAGUUAAUACCUUGCUGUUUUGACGGUACCAACAGAAUAAGCACCGGCUAACUUCGUG
This 484-nucleotide ribosomal RNA is filed under the name uncultured bacterium. RNAcentral describes it as "partial 16S ribosomal RNA". It matches the Rfam family "Bacterial small subunit ribosomal RNA", at positions 30 to 507 of the family's 1533-position model. The record is from RNAcentral.